Long non-coding RNA from Nothoprocta perdicaria, 169 nucleotides. RefSeq lists it as uncharacterized. The record is from RefSeq and is a predicted model, not a curated record. NCBI's taxonomy places the organism in Eukaryota, Metazoa, Chordata, Aves, Tinamiformes, Tinamidae. The transcript is spliced from 2 exons.
AAAAUACUCAUGAGCUGGAACUGCAAAAGCAAAUCCCAUCCUGCACAUCAGCUCUCCCUGCAAGUUUCCUAGGUUCUUCAUUUUUGAACGCACUCAGGAGUGAUGCAGACAUGAGCCCUGUGUGCAGCUGACCUCCCUUAGGCUGACAGAGUCUUGGACCUUGAACCCU